CUGUGAAAAUCGUCAGAUUUCCGAUUUAUGUGACAGAUCUCACGAUCUGACAAUAUUCACGCUACACCGGUCUAUUUCGUUUCCGUAGAGAUAGCUUAGGUAGCACUAUACAGUUUUGAGCCUUAGUGUCGAAUUGGCAGGGGAGAAAUUUCUAAUAAAUAGGGAUACAAUAAAACUGAGCAGCAAUAAUAGUGUUUUACAAGUUUAAAGUAUCAGAUUUGAGUGGUGGUGGUUUGAAAUGCAUGCUUAGUGAAUUCGAAAAUGUGUCCAGUGCCUAGCCAGUAUGUCUGCUGGGCAGUCAAGGUCAUGAAAUACGUACAUGCUGGUUUCUAGCUCCGAAGGCUAAUUUUGCAUGAAUUUUAAAGGUGCCUCCACUCAACUGAAUUUCUGCAAAAAACCGCGUGGAUGACCCUAGGAUUCUUCGGUGUCGGUCAAAUAUCUGGUGUAGACGUUGUGUUAGCUGUGAGGACGGACAGUGCCCCCACCCCGGCAGCCAGUAGCCGAUUUGUGAAAAACUGUAGUGUGCCCCCUUAAGGUGUAGACGUUGUGUUAGCUGUGAGGACGGACAGUGCCCCCACCCCGGCAGCCAGUAGCCGAUUUGUGAAAAACUGUAGUGUGCCCCCUUAUGUCGUCCGUUUGUAAGCUUAAAUUUGAUUGGCUGACGGGUUCAAUGGCUUAUUCUAAAAAUAAAUGCUUCUCGAGCAGCAUAUUACUGCGCGAGCAGGAAUUUUGCUGCUCGAGCAGCAUUUAAAUGCUCCUCGACCAGUAAAUUGCUGCUCGAGCAGCAACAUGCUGCUCGAGCAGCAUUUUUUUCUGCUCGAGCAGAAGUUAAAGUUUCGAUACAUUUGGUGCGCCAUAGUUUUCAACAAGGGUGUUCCGACCUUGAUGUACCAUGCUGUUGAUGUUUUUUGGUUAAAGUACUGUAAUGCAGUUUAAUUACCUACCGUUUUCAUUACUAUGUUUACACAAUUGUAGAAAUAUAACUCUUUAAUUAGGCACGAGGAAAUGAUAAUUUGUUGCAAAAUCAAUAACCGAAUUACGUUCAAUGUUUAAUUACAUGCCUGACAAAAAGAAUAUAAAAGAGCUUCAG
This is a long non-coding RNA of Dreissena polymorpha, 1090 nucleotides long. RefSeq lists it as uncharacterized. The record is from RefSeq and is a predicted model, not a curated record. The transcript has 3 exons. Lineage: Eukaryota; Metazoa; Mollusca; Bivalvia; Myida; Dreissenidae.